AUUGAACGCUGGCGGCAUGCCUUACACAUGCAAGUCGAACGGUAACAGGUCUUCGGAUGCUGACGAGUGGCGAACGGGUGAGUAAUACAUCGGAACGUGCCUAGUAGUGGGGGAUAACUACUCGAAAGAGUGGCUAAUACCGCAUGAGAUCUACGGAUGAAAGCAGGGGAUCGCAAGACCUUGUGCUACUAGAGCGGCCGAUGGCAGAUUAGGUAGUUGGUGGGAUAAAAGCUUACCAAGCCGACGAUCUGUAGCUGGUCUGAGAGGACGAUCAGCCAGACUGGGACUGAGAAACGGCCCAGACUCCUACGGGAGGCAGCAGUGGGGAAUUUUGGACAAUGGGCGCAAGCCUGAUCCAGCAAUGCCGCGUGCGGGAUGAAGGCCUUCGGGUUGUAAACUGCUUUUGUACGGAACGAAAAGCCCCGGGUUAAUACCCUGGGGUCAUGACGGUACCGUAAGAAUAAGCACCGGCUAACUACGUGCCAGCCGCCGCUGUAA
Molecule: ribosomal RNA, 498 nt
Filed under: uncultured bacterium
Lineage: Bacteria
Description: partial 16S ribosomal RNA
Rfam family: Bacterial small subunit ribosomal RNA
Source: RNAcentral